This 482-nucleotide ribosomal RNA is filed under the name uncultured bacterium. Its description in RNAcentral is "bacterial SSU rRNA". It matches the Rfam family "Bacterial small subunit ribosomal RNA", at positions 31 to 509 of the family's 1533-position model. The record is from RNAcentral.
GAACGCUAGCGGCAGGCUUAACACAUGCAAGUCGAGGGGCAGCGCGUUGUAGCAAUACGAUGGCGGCGACCGGCGCAAGGGUGCGUAACGCGUGAGCAAUCUGCCCGUAUCAGGGGGAUAAGCGAUGGAAACGUCGUCUAAUACCGCAUAACAACCGAGGAGGCAUCUCCUUGGCUUGAAAGCUUCGGUGGAUACGGAUGAGCUCGCGAGACAUUAGUUAGUUGGCGGGUAACGGCCCACCAAGACCGCGAUGUCUAGGGGAACUGAGAGGUUGGUCCCCCACACUGGAACUGAGACACGGUCCAGACUCCUACGGGAGGCAGCAGUGAGGAAUAUUGGACAAUGGCCGGAAGGCUGAUCCAGCCAUGCCGCGUGAAGGAUAAGGUCCUAUGGAUUGUAAACUUCUUUUGAGUGGGAGCAAUAAGGGCGUCGAGACGUCCGAUGAGAGUACCAUUUGAAUAAGCAUCGGCUAACUCCGUGCC